Cebus imitator (Panamanian white-faced capuchin) is the source of this 393-nucleotide long non-coding RNA. RefSeq lists it as uncharacterized. Lineage: Eukaryota; Metazoa; Chordata; Mammalia; Primates; Cebidae. The record is from RefSeq and is a predicted model, not a curated record. The transcript is spliced from 2 exons.
GGACAAAUGGACUUGGGGUAGGAGAGAGGGACAACAGUGGGAGCAAAAAGAUCUUGCUGUUUCAACCAAAACCUUGUGCUGACCAUAGUUGAGGAACGGAAGAAGAUGGUAAAAGCCUGCAGAUGUAGGUGUUCAGCAUGCCAUCUGAAAUAUUCCCCACAGAGGCAAAAAGCCGGGAAAUUAUUUCUGAAAAGGAAUGGGAAGACAAGUCAGCAGAAUAUGUCAAUCUUUUGGUUGAAGAAGCUGCUUGAAUUUGUGCUUUUCUGUAACAUAUGCUCUCCCACAGCCAGCACAGAGAAGGGCUUUUGGUGCAGGCCCAAGACCACCAUAAUCAUCAUUGAUUAUUCCUCUCCACCCCAGGGUCUCUAAAUAAAACGUCUCUUCUUUCUCUGA